GAUGAACGCUGGCGGCGUGCCUAAUACAUGCAAGUCGAACGCUGGAAAUCUAGCUUGCUCGAUUGAAGGAGUGGCGAACGGGUGAGUAAUACAUAAGCAACCUACCCACGAAGACUGGGAUAAUCUCUGGAAACAGGGACUAAUACCGGAUAGGUAAUCGGAAGGCAUCUUCUGAUUAUUAAAGGUUAAAAACACUGGUGGAUGGGCUUAUGGCGCAUUAGUUAGUUGGUGAGGUAACGGCCCACCAAGACGAUGAUGCGUAGCCGGCCUGAGAGGGUGAACGGCCACAUUGGGACUGAGACACGGCCCAGACUCCUACGGGAGGCAGUAGUAGGGAAUUUUCGGCAAUGGGGGAAACCCUGACCGAGCAACGCCGCGUGAGUGAUGACGGCCUUCGGGUUGUAAAGCUCUGUUGUAAGGGAAGAACGGUAGAUAGAGAAUAUCUAAAUGACGGUACCUUACCAGAAAGCCACGGCUAACUACGUG
RNAcentral lists this ribosomal RNA (486 nucleotides) under uncultured bacterium. RNAcentral describes it as "partial 16S ribosomal RNA". It matches the Rfam family "Bacterial small subunit ribosomal RNA", at positions 28 to 507 of the family's 1533-position model. The record is from RNAcentral.